AUUGAACGCUGGCGGCAGGCCUAACACAUGCAAGUCGAGCGGAUGCAGGGAGCUGCUUCCUGUAUCGAGCGGCGGACGGGUAAGUAAUGCCUAGGAAUCUGCCAGUGCGUGGUGGAUAACGUCCGGUACUGGGCGCUAAUACCGCAUCCGCCUUACGGGAGAAAGUGAGGGAUGUUCGGCCUCCACGCUCUUAGCUGAGGCUAGGUCGGAUUAGCUAGUUGGUGGGGUAAGGGCCUACCAAGGCGACGAUCCGUAACUGGUCUGAGAGGAUGAGCAGUCACACUGGAACUGAGACACGGUCCAGACUCCUACGGGAGGCAGCAGUGGGGAAUAUUGGACAAUGGGCGAAAGCCUGAUGCAGCCAUGCCGCGUGUGUGAAGAAGGUCUUCGGAUUGUAAAGCACUUUCAGCUGGGAGGAAGGGAAGAAAGUUAAUACCUUUGCGCAUUGACGUUACCAACAGAAGAAGCACCGGCUAACUCCGUG
Molecule: ribosomal RNA, 484 nt
Filed under: uncultured bacterium
Lineage: Bacteria
Description: partial 16S ribosomal RNA
Rfam family: Bacterial small subunit ribosomal RNA
Source: RNAcentral